Molecule: ribosomal RNA, 253 nt
Filed under: uncultured bacterium
Lineage: Bacteria
Description: partial 16S ribosomal RNA
Rfam family: Bacterial small subunit ribosomal RNA
Source: RNAcentral
UACGUAGGGAGCAAGCGUUGUCCGGAUUUAUUGGGCGUAAAGAGCGUGUAGGCGGCCAGACAGGUCCGUUGUGAAAACUCGAGGCUCAACCUCGAGAUGUCGAUGGAAACCGUCUGGCUAGAGUCCGGAAGAGGAGUGUGGAAUUCCUGGUGUAGCGGUGAAAUGCGCAGAUAUCAGGAAGAACACCUAUGGCGAAGGCAGCACUCUGGGACGGUACUGACGCUGAGACGCGAAAGCGUGGGGAGCGAACAGG